AGGAUUAACGCUGGCGGCGUGCAUGAAACAUGCAAGUCGAGCGCGGUGUGAUGCGGGGUAACCCAAUUCACAUCUAGCGGCGAACGGGUGAGUAACACGUGAGCAACCUACCUUUGAGUUGGGGAUAGCCCUGGGAAACCAGGAUUAAUACCCGAUGUGGUCACAACAGGACAUCCUGAUGUGAGUAAAGGCGCAAGCCGCUCAAUGACGGGCUCGCGGCCUAUUAGCUUGUUGGUGGGGUAACGGCCUACCAAGGCGAUGAUGGGUAGCUGGUCUGAGAGGACGAUCAGCCACACUGGGACUGAGACACGGCCCAGACUCCUACGGGAGGCAGCAGUUAGGAAUUUUCCGCAAUGGGCGAAAGCCUGACGGAGCAACGCCGCGUGAGUGAUGAAGACCUUAGGGUUGUAAAGCUCUGUCGGAGGGGAAGAACACAAUGACGGUACCCUCCAAGAAAGCCCGGCUAACUACGUGCCAGCAGCCGCGGUAA
Molecule: ribosomal RNA, 490 nt
Filed under: uncultured bacterium
Lineage: Bacteria
Description: SSU rRNA
Rfam family: Bacterial small subunit ribosomal RNA
Source: RNAcentral